This 250-nucleotide ribosomal RNA is filed under the name uncultured bacterium. Its description in RNAcentral is "partial 16S ribosomal RNA". It matches the Rfam family "Bacterial small subunit ribosomal RNA", at positions 524 to 773 of the family's 1533-position model. The record is from RNAcentral.
UACGUAGGGCCCAAGCAUUAUCCGGAAUUACUGGGCGUAAAGAGUAUGUAGGUGUUCCUCUAAGUCGGUCGUUAAAUCUCAUCGCUCAACGAUGAGGCCGCGAGCGAUACUAGAGGAAUUGAGUGUCACAGGGGCAAGCAGAAUUCUUGGAGUAGGGGUGAAAUCCGUUGAUACCAAGAGGAAUACCAAUGGCGAAGGCAGCUUGCUAGGUGAACACUGACACUGAGAUACGAAAGCGUGGGGAGCAAAC